CGGCGGCGCUGGGCGGGCGCCUGGUCGGCUACUACGCGAACGGCGGCGAAGCCGACCUGCGCCGGCUGUUCGAGGCGGUCCGACGCUGGC
This 90-nucleotide transfer RNA is filed under the name Pseudomonas aeruginosa. RNAcentral describes it as "tRNA-Ser". Lineage: Bacteria; Pseudomonadati; Pseudomonadota; Gammaproteobacteria; Pseudomonadales; Pseudomonadaceae. The record is from RNAcentral.